RNAcentral lists this ribosomal RNA (428 nucleotides) under uncultured Candidatus Saccharibacteria bacterium. RNAcentral describes it as "bacterial SSU rRNA". It matches the Rfam family "Bacterial small subunit ribosomal RNA", at positions 23 to 485 of the family's 1533-position model. The record is from RNAcentral. Lineage: Bacteria; Candidatus Saccharimonadota.
CUCAGGAUGAACGCUGGCGGCGUGCCUAAUACAUGCAAGUCGAGCGGCAGCACGGUCUUCGGACUGGUGGCGAGCGGCGGACGGCUGAGUAACGCGUAGGAACAUGCCCCAAAGUGAGGAAUAACUGCCCGAAAGGGUGGCUAAUGCCGCAUGUGGUCUUCGGACUAAAGCUUUAUGCGCUUUGGGAGUGGCCUGCGUCCGAUUAGCUUGUUGGUGAGGUAAUGGCUCACCAAGGCGACGAUCGGUAGCUGGUCUGAGAGGAUGAUCAGCCAGACUGGAACUGAGAACGGUCCAGACUCCUACGGGAGGCAGCAGUAGGGAAUUUUCCACAAUGGGCGAGAGCCUGAUGGAGCAACGCCGCGUGCAGGAUGAAUGCCUUCGGGUUGUAAACUGCUUUUAUGUGCGAAGAAUUUGACUGUAACACAUGA